CCUACGGGCGGCUGCAGUCGAGAAUCAUUCACAAUGGGGGAAACCCUGAUGGUGCGACGCCGCGUGGGGGAAUGAAGGUCUUCGGAUUGUAAACCCCUGUCAUGUGGGAGCAAAUUAAAAAGAUAGUACCACAAGAGGAAGAGACGGCUAACUCUGUGCCAGCAGCCGCGGUAAUACAGAGGUCUCAGGCGUUGUUCGGAAUCACUGGGCGUAAAGCGUGCGUAGGCUGUUUCGUAAGUCGUGGGUGAAAGGCGCGGGCUCAACCCGCGGACGGCACAUGAUACUGCGAGACUAGAGUAAGGGAGGGGGAACCGGAAUUCUAGGUGUAGCAGUGAAAUGCGUAGAUAGCGAGAGGAACACUCGUGGCGAAGGCGGGUUCCUGGACAUUAACUGACGCUGAGGCACGAAGGCCAGGGGAGCGAAAGGGAUUAGAUACCCCAGUAGUC
Molecule: ribosomal RNA, 446 nt
Filed under: uncultured bacterium
Lineage: Bacteria
Description: partial 16S ribosomal RNA
Rfam family: Bacterial small subunit ribosomal RNA
Source: RNAcentral